RNAcentral lists this ribosomal RNA (429 nucleotides) under Acidobacteriota bacterium. RNAcentral's name for it is "Acidobacteria bacterium partial 16S ribosomal RNA". It matches the Rfam family "Bacterial small subunit ribosomal RNA", at positions 355 to 776 of the family's 1533-position model. The record is from RNAcentral. Lineage: Bacteria; Pseudomonadati; Acidobacteriota.
UGGGGAAUUUUGGACAAUGGGGGAAACCCUGAUCCAGCCAUCCCGCGUGUGCGAUGAAGGCCUUCGGGUUGUAAAGCACUUUUGGCAGGAAAGAAACGUCAUGGGUUAAUACCCCGUGAAACUGACGGUACCUGCAGAAUAAGCACCGGCUAACUACGUGCCAGCAGCCGCGGUAAUACGUAGGGUGCAAGCGUUAAUCGGAAUUACUGGGCGUAAAGCGUGCGCAGGCGGUUCGGAAAGAAAGAUGUGAAAUCCCAGAGCUCAACUUUGGAACUGCAUUUGUAACUACCGGGCUAGAGUGUGUCAGAGGGAGGUGGAAUUCCGCGUGUAGCAGUGAAAUGCGUAGAUAUGCGGAGGAACACCGAUGGCGAAGGCAGCCUCCUGGGAUAACACUGACGCUGAUGCACGAAAGCGUGGGGAGCAAACAGG